Molecule: long non-coding RNA, 7065 nt
Organism: Schistocerca gregaria
Lineage: Eukaryota; Metazoa; Arthropoda; Insecta; Orthoptera; Acrididae
Exons: 3
Source: RefSeq, a predicted model, not a curated record
AAUUAGAAACGAUAGUGUCGUGUGCAGCCAUAGGCAUUAUUGUGCAAUCCGAUCACUUAGAAAUAAAAGGGUCGUGUGAAACAAAUUAACUCGUGUGCACCCCAGUACAUGAGAAACGAAAUAAAAGGCCAGACAGCGGAGUAGCAAGAAGCAGAGAUUCAGAUGCAGAUUCAGAGCCAGCGCCGGCAGUUUGGAGAUUCCGCAGCGAGACGCCAGCGGGGUCUAGUAGACCCAUAGCAGCCGGUACAGCUGAUAAAGCCUUCAACUACUAGGAGACGGUGAUAGACUCUGGUGGACAUUCAGCAACUGCAGGAUCAACGUUAUGAAGAAAUUGAACAUCCAGACGGGAAGGAAUAUGGCUUCAGCUCUAGGUGCUAUUGAUAAGCGGCGGGUAACCGAAGCAGAGACAGUUGCAGAAGCUGCUACCAAGGAGUCAAGGAUAAAGAAAAGAAUGAAGAGAAGGAGUAUGGAGGAUAAGGAAACAGGAGGACAACUGGAGCAUGCACCUGGAAUGUUCUAAACGAGCAUAGUAGGAACUGACUGUCACUGACGUCAAAAUGAGGUAAUGAAAAAUGAAGAAAGGAAUCUAUUUUAUAACUAUCCAAAUCUUUUUGGUAAACAUAUACUUAUUUUGUGUUCUUCAGUUCAAUACUUCAUAUGCUUUGUCAUCUUUGCAUAAUCACGAAUAAGCAGUUCUUAGUGCAUAUAUGAAGUUUUAAUAUAAACUGCGUUAAUUAUUAUUUACUGCUGUUACGAAUUUUGUUUGCCACUAGUAAAAAAUGUCCUGUCUAAGUUGAACUAUACUUCAGUUGGUAAAAUAUUCUCAAUUAGGAUUACAGUUUUGAAAAUACAUACCUUUUCCUUUAUAUUUUGAUGAAGUGUGGUCAGGUAUAGAGAUGGCGCAUUUUCUUCUUUUGCUCCAGUACACAACAAAUUUGUAACAAGGAAUUUUUUUCUUUUCAAAACCAAUUUUUAGAACAAUGAUGAUGUUGGAACAUGUACAAUAUCAACCCAUACUUUUUGUGCUGUUUUGUUGUUUUGUGCGUGCCCUUUUUUUUUCUAUAUGCAUUAUCUGAGACAUAAAUGAAAUCACCCACAUUUGCAAUGAUUUUAAAAUUGGUGAGACAUGGAAUGUGGGCUGUCCAUUGUAAGAAACUGCAUGAGUAUUAUGCUAUCAGUAGCUUCUUAUUUAUCAUGUUUUAUUUUAGGCUAUCAUUAUUUUUAAAUCAGAUUGUAGGACUGCUUGCAACAGGAGUCCACUUUUAAUAAGGCAGUGGCAAACAAACACUAAAUUUCCUAAUAAUGUCAAAAGUUUUCUGCUCUUACAUACUUUCUUGUAUCAUUUCUCAAAUAGUCUUAAGCUCACACAACUGUUGAAAAGUAUUUCAGCUGUGCAUGUGGGCAAAACUGGAAAUCUAAGCUUUAGCAAAAUGAAAUGAAUUUGCUGAGUGGAUAUACUGUUGUACAAGAAAAAGUAACAGUAUUUAUUAGGUGGAUGACUAUCAUGAUGAAGUUAAUUUAGAAAGUGCACUGAUCAAGGCAUUCUAUUUAAAGAGUAGUUACUAUUCAUAUGACCUCUAUACACCUCUCUCUGCUUUAUUUUUUGUCAUUAGCUCUUAAAGAAACUACUAGUUUUAAAUUCUAGAAACUGUGCCACAUAUUGUGAAAUGUUGAUUGCUUUACUCCAAACCACUGGUUCACAUAAAAUAUCCACCAGCAAGAAUUAAACAGAAUAAUUCUAAUGAACUGUGACUGGAAAAAAUUAUGGAGAAAUGAGUAUGUAAGGAAUUUACCCAUUUGAAUAACCAAAAAUUUUCUUUCUGUAAAGAGACUGCUACUGUCUUGUUAUACAGGUGCAGUAAUUUGAAAAUUAAAAAAAGAAAAUACAAAUACCACCAGUACAUCAAAUUAACAAGGGUUUCUUAAACAAAAACAUAAAUUUGGCACAGUUCAAAGUAUAUUUAGGUGGUGACAGUUUGUUCUAGAUAGAAGCCCGAAUAGAUUAGUGCGGAACAAAAUGACAGCACAGGUAUGGAGAGGUAGAGGGGAGGGGGAGGGAGAGGGAGAAGGGAGGGAGGGAGGGAGGGGGGAGGGAGGGAGAGAGAGAGAGAGAGAGAGAGAGAGAGAGAGAGAGAGAGAAAUUACAUAUGGAAAUGGCCCACAUUUAACUGAAAGCACAGAAAGCAAAGCAUUAACUUACCAUUUAACAUGACUAUACAAACAAUAUGAAAGUAUCAAGGACAGUGAACCUACAGCCUUAUAAAUAAGAUUAUUUGAUCCCAAGCCAGAGGCAAGGCUGUACCGAACUAGAAUUUAUGGCAUAUUGAUAGAAGAGAUGUUUCAAAGAUUAGGGAGAAACUGAAUGCACAAUGUACAUGAAGGACAUGAAAGGACCUACCCAGGUGUAAAUUUCACAAUUUUAGUAAAGAGCUGGAAAAAAUGGUCAUAAAUGUAAACAGCGCGACUUGAACUUGCAUAAAGAAAUGACCUAGAUGCUCCUGGAAAUGAAUAUUAAUAAUAAAAUCAAGACAACAAAUUAAUAAAAGCAUGACACAAAGGGCAAGGAAAAACAGAAAUAAAACACAAAUAAAUACAAGAGAGGACACUGAAAGAGGAAAGGAAUCACAGGAAAUGUAUGUGACAGGCUUCCCUUUCCUUGUAAUGUGGAUCAUUCUAGAUGUGUACCAGUUUGAAUGAGUUCUGUUUUAUGAUCAUAUUCACUUUCCUUUUAUGUAAGCUUUUUUAAGACAAUUUUACAUAGUUAUCCAACACCAACGCUUCAUUCAGGUAUCACUUUUCUUUCAGCACAACCACAGACUUGGAGAAGAUAAAGUACCUAACAUUUUGUAUCAUGGCUAUGGUCCAUUUUAUGCCUUGUCCAUCAAGAAGGUUUAUGCUGCCCAAAUGAUCCCUCAAAUUUCACAAUGGGCUUUCACCAUUCAGCCAACCUCAAUGACACAUUUGUCAAAUGCAUGAGUUUCCAUAUUACCUCUAUUCCUAACCAGUCAUACUCUUGCAGACCCCCAUUGCACAUUACUCUGCUACUGAUUCUUAAGCACGAGAUAAAAUCCUGUGAACUUGCUCCAUCAUUCAUGUCAUUUGAGCUCCACUCCUCAACACCAAAAUUCCUUGAUUUGUGUCUUUAUUUUUCCGAACUUAUCUUGAUUACUGUUAAGAUUAAUUGUACAUUUAUGUGAACAUAUGGUUAUCUUAAGCCUUAUUUUUAAGUAGCAUUCCAUGAACUCCUCUCUCUAACAAGACUAAUGAAUAAUUUUGUCAUUAACAUUCAAUUUAUGAAAAUUUUCUGUACCUCUUCUAUGUUUUAUGUUGCCGUUGUGUUUUGAAGACAUAAGUUUCAGUUAGGGAAUAUCUAGAUUUUAGGCUCCAUACGAAGUAGUUAGGCUAUAAUAAUUGACCUACACACGCAUUAAAAAUAACUCAAAAAAAAUUUAGAACGUUAAACAUGUUAAUGAGCUUUGUCAUGAGGAUACAAAAUCAGUGUGUGUUACGCGCAUUUUUGCAGCUCUGUUGAUCGUACAACAUUUAUAAUCCCUACAGUAAGAUUAAAUUAGUCUUGCCUCAACACUGUUCAUAAGGGGAGGAAUAUUGACCAUUCUAUUCCAAAUUUGGGUUCUGUACAUCAUCUUUGUUGAAAAGAUGCUUCCUCCAGUUCUCAGCUUUCUUCAUCAGCUAUGAAACUAUUUGGUUGAUUUGGAAAAAUGGGCAGAGACCCAAAGAAGCACUAUAAUUUUCUUUUCUUUUGCCCUUGGACUACCGUACAUUUGAGGAAGUUAAACCAACUAUCAAAUAAUGACACAAAAGCAGCUGUCAGAAGUGUGUACUGUAAGAUGUUUAACUGUUAAUGAUACUUUCACUGAAAAGUGGUACUAAUGUGUAAUAAUGUUGCACACAUCUAGGCACAAAGAAAAUUCAGGUUUGCUUGCAACUUAAUUUCCCCCAACGUGUGAUAAUGUGCAUUUAUAACAAGCGCAAAAAUGAGAAUAAUGUUCAUGAUUUCAAACUGCUAGUCUAAGAACUGAGAAUGAGUAGAGAAAUAUAAAAAAAGGUAACAAUAGUGGUUAAUGUAAUGCAGGCUGAGAUAGAGAUAGCAUUAAGCAAAGGCAAAGAACUGACUAUAAGCAUAAAUAAGCAUCACUGUCCAGUAGCAAGAAGUCUCAUGCUUAAUAAAAUUAUCAGCUUAAAACACACUUUCAACACAGAUAUUACACACUGGCAUGCAGAUUGUACAUUGCAGAGACUGGUGCUUCCAUUAAGCUUAAUCUACAGCACAGUGCAGAAAUUCAAGAACAGAUUGUUUUAAAAUACCACUUUUCACUGAAGUACCAUAAACUAAAAUUUCUGAACUGUUCUCUGGUUUGGGAUCAUUAAAUACAUUUCUGCUCAAUGUUGCACACAAGCAGUAGUUAGUGGGUUUUGCAAAAAGUCAUAUAUUAAUAUCAGCUAAUUUCUUACUGAACUAUAAGAACUCUAUUUGUGGUAUUGUUUAAGUACCUGCCUGAUGAAUGAAUUUGUGGCCGUAUUUUAAUGCCAAUAUCUGAACUCAAAAACUUCGGACUUUUUGAAUAGUAUACCUGUCACAUAUUUAAUGUAUAUUUUAGUUUACUGAAUGUGUAAUAAGCCAUAUGUUUUCUAUGGUAAUAUGUACUGAGUGAUCAUAAUGACAAGUUUAAGGGAUUAUUCAUCACCUUGUGGGACUGACAUCAGAGCACUAUGAACAACACAACGACCUAUAUUUACUGCAACAGUUUGCCCACUGUUUCUUGAACCACAAUACAAUCAGAAUCUAUGAACGUUGCCUUUUCCUCCCUCAUUAAAGUAUUGUGUUUGUGUAACUAUUAUACAGAUUCUCCCACACACUAAAUACGAAAGUCACACAAAAAACAAUUAGUGUAAAAAUGUCAGUGCAAGAUUAAUAGCCGAAAUUUUGCUAAAACAAAUUAAUUCUGUGCAUACCAAUUAACUUCAAACUGUACUUAUCAAGUAUUAUGACUGGAAGUAUUCAUACAACCAUGUGGAACAACACUACACAGGAGAGCAGAAACAGAGCAGUUCAGAUUCUAUUGUGCAUUGUUAUACAAAAACAUUUGGAUAUCUCAAACGGCUAUGAUACAAGUUUAAUUCUUCCAAUGCAUAAGGAGCAAAUGUUGAAAAACAACACAUCACAUCAAGGAUAACACACGAAAAUACUAUACAGUACAUUUAACAAAAAUAGUGCAUUAUUAACACCCACCAUGUACAAUACAACAGACCUGCCAAAUUUUGAAAUUAAAAAAAUGUUUUAAUAAGAAAAAGACACUUGAGUUUCAAAGUACUUAUCAUCACAGACAGAUUUAAAACUACAUUUCAAAAAUCUGGCAGGUCUGUUUCACUGAAUUUAAAUUACUUUUGAAAGCUUACUUAAAAUGUCAAGUUCAAUUUAUAUGGGAGUAAGUUUAAGAUUGGCUUUAUUUAAAAAAAGGUAUUAGAUUGUGGCAGGAAAAUUCAAGCAAAGAGAGGAGAAUGCAAAGAUAAACAGCAGGCAAACAACAGAACUACGAAGAGUAAAUAAGCAACACCAGAGUUAAACACAAAAUGAGAUAAAAAGCUGAACAGUUACAGCAAUGCAACAGUCAGUAUCUAAGUUCUUGCAUUACACUAAGUUGGGGACAAUUAAGCAGCAAACAGAUAUGCAGUGAAGUAAAUGCCUAGUGUAUACAACCAUUCUGUUUCCCUGUGUAAAUGUGCCUGUGCAUGUCUUCCGUGAUCAAACCAGCUAGUUUGAAGUCAAUGAAAACUUUAAGGAAGUGUAGGUUUUCCAGUUCAGUGUUUCACACGCAGGAAGUAAUAAACAUGGAUUUAUAUUGUAUUUACUGGAUAUUAAAUGAAAGGAAAUUCAUUUCAAAAAACUUCAAACUAUGGUAAUGGAAAUUUUUAUUUAGCCUCAUUUUUUACAAAUUGUACUUACAAGUAAACAGAAUCUUUCCCAUCAAAAUUUUUCUUAUUUGAUCAUAAGCACACUGUCACAGAAAAAUCAGCUGAGAGUAUGCUUGUGUUACAAGUAUUCUAUGCCUGCUCAAAAACCAGCACUAAAUGAAUGAUAAUUAUACCAAAAUGAUGACAAUCCUUUGAGACCAAAGUAUAAGAAUUAAAAAACUCUAUAAGUCAGAAAGAUCUACAAAUAAUACAAAACAUUAGUUUUUUUAAGUUGCAGGAGUGAGCAAUGCAAGCUUAACUUAAUCUUUAAUGCCUACAUAAAAUGUAACUACUGCUGCAUGCUUCCAUGUGUUUCACCUCAAAUACAACUACCAAGAAUAAAACAGUGCCAAAAAAGAGCCUGAGGGAAGUCUUGACUAGGGAUGCCACUUCACAAUAAUAUUCAGAUUAACUUGAAAAUAUAUAGAGAUACUUCUUGUACAGUGAUAUUACUGUUGUCAUGAAAACACUUGUUAUUUCAUGUGUAACUGUUCUAAUGAAAGGAAGGUCUGAUUUCCAUUCUUCCCUCUUGAACAGUACACAGGUUGCCAGUAUCAAAACUGUUUGUACAUUCCAUGCACAGCACACUAGGAAAAAUUAAAUAGCACGAACAUGGCAUGCACAAGUAGUUUUGGAGCAUGAGACAAUAAAGAGACUAUUUAACACUGCAGAAGGAGUGAACAGAACAUAGGUUUAAUAGAAAACAAACAUUAGUUCAGAGUUUUAGUUAAAAAGUUGAUUAGUUAAUAAACCUUACAACAUUUUAUUGUUAAUAAAUGCUGAAUUUGAUGUGUGAUUGUUUUAUAUCAUAGGAUUUAAUGAACACAUAAUUCAAAAAUCCAAAUAAUAAUUUUAGAGCCUAGAUUGCUGUUAUGUAAAUCUUGUACUAUAAAUGUCACAUGAGCAUGACUGAAACAUGAAUUCAGUUUUUUUAAUAUCCAUUUAAGCCAUGAAUCUGAUACCAAAUUAGAUAAUAGUUUCAUAUAUUUAAGAUGCUAUGAAGUAUAUGGCUGAUCAGUCAUGCCUCUGCAUUUUCUUGUUUCGUAGAUCUUGUUCCAUAACCAUAAUCACUUACAAUAAAAAAAAUAUUAU